AUUGAACGCUGGCGGCAGGCCUAACACAUGCAAGUCGAGCGGAUGAAGGGAGCUUGCUCCUGGAUUCAGCGGCGGACGGGUGAGUAAUGCCUAGGAAUCUGCCUGGUAGUGGGGGAUAACGUCCGGAAACGGGCGCUAAUACCGCAUACGUCCUGAGGGAGAAAGUGGGGGAUCUUCGGACCUCACGCUAUCAGAUGAGCCUAGGUCGGAUUAGCUAGUUGGUGGGGUAAAGGCCUACCAAGGCGACGAUCCGUAACUGGUCUGAGAGGAUGAUCAGUCACACUGGAACUGAGACGCGGUCCAGACUCCUACGGGAGGCAGCAGUGGGGAAUAUUGGACAAUGGGCGAAAGCCUGAUCCAGCCAUGCCGCGUGUGUGAAGAAGGUCUUCGGAUUGUAAAGCACUUUAAGUUGGGAGGAAGGGCAGUAAGUUAAUACCUUGCUGUUUUGACGGUACCAACAGAAUAAGCACCGGCUAACUUCGUG
Molecule: ribosomal RNA, 484 nt
Filed under: uncultured bacterium
Lineage: Bacteria
Description: partial 16S ribosomal RNA
Rfam family: Bacterial small subunit ribosomal RNA
Source: RNAcentral